Molecule: small RNA, 1059 nt
Filed under: uncultured Pelagibacterales bacterium
Lineage: Bacteria; Pseudomonadati; Pseudomonadota; Alphaproteobacteria; Candidatus Pelagibacterales
Description: bacterial SSU rRNA
Rfam family: Bacterial small subunit ribosomal RNA (bases 1-658)
Source: RNAcentral
CACCGCCUGGGGAGUACGACCGCAAGGUUAAAACUCAAAUGAAUUGACGGGGACCCGCACAAGUAGUGGAGCAUGUGGUUUAAUUCGAAGAUACGCGCAGAACCUUACCAACACUUGACAUGUUCGUCGCGACCUUAAGAGAUUAAGGUUUUCGGUUCGGCCGGACGAAACACAGGUGCUGCAUGGCUGUCGUCAGCUCGUGUCGUGAGAUGUUGGGUUAAGUCCCGCAACGAGCGCAACCCUCACUUUUAGUUGCCAUCAUCUAGUUGGGCACUCUGAAAGAACUGCCAGUGAUAAGCUGGAGGAAGGUGGGGAUGACGUCAAGUCCUCAUGGCCCUUACGUGUUGGGCUACACACGUGCUACAAUGGCAUCUACAAUAGGAAGCAAAAUGGCGACAUUGAGCAAAUCCUAAAAAGAUGCCUCAGUUCGGAUUGCACUCUGCAACUCGAGUGCAUGAAGCUGGAAUUACUAGUAAUCGCGGAUCAGCGCGCCGCGGUGAAUACGUUCCCGGGUCUUGUACACACCGCCCGUCACACCAUGGGAGUUGGCUCUACCUUAAGGCAGAGUUUAAAACCUCUGACCACGGUAUAGUCAGCGACUGGGGUGAAGUCGUAACAAGGUAGCCGUAGGGGAACCUGCGGCUGGAUUACCUCCUUUCUAAGGAUGGUUAAGAAAAAUUUCUUAACCUAAAUAAUUAACAGGUUAAUGUUGACCGUCCUCAUUUCUCUUCUUAAAAGUGUUUCUCUUUACUGAAUAGGGGCCGGUAGCUCAGUUGGUUAGAGCACACCCUUGAUAAGGGUGGGGUCGAAAGUUCGAGUCUUUCUCGGCCCACCAUUUUAUUUGGGGGAUUAGCUCAGCUGGGAGAGCGCCUGAUUUGCAUUCAGGAGGUCAGCGGUUCGAUCCCGCUAUCCUCCACCAGAAACAUUUAGCUAUUAAAAUUGUGAAUAAAUAAAUAAUAUCAAUAUCUAUAUCCGAUUGUUCGAAUAGAUGAACAAUCAAGAAUGUUCGAAAAGAUGAACAUUCCAACAAAAUUUGAUUCAACACAGAAUUUUUUUCUG